RNAcentral lists this transfer RNA (74 nucleotides) under Stenomitos rutilans HA7619-LM2. RNAcentral describes it as "tRNA-Arg". It matches the Rfam family "tRNA". Rfam says of the family: Transfer RNA (tRNA) molecules are approximately 80 nucleotides in length. Their secondary structure includes four short double-helical elements and three loops (D, anti-codon, and T loops). The record is from RNAcentral. Lineage: Bacteria; Bacillati; Cyanobacteriota; Cyanophyceae; Leptolyngbyales; Leptolyngbyaceae. RNAcentral also lists the same sequence under 1 other name.
GAGGAUGUAGCUCAGACGGACAGAGCGCCUGUUUCCGAGGCAGGAAGCCACAGGUUCAAACCCUGUCAUCCUCG